This 239-nucleotide ribosomal RNA is filed under the name Mesorhizobium sp. RNAcentral's name for it is "partial 23S ribosomal RNA". It matches the Rfam family "Bacterial large subunit ribosomal RNA", at positions 473 to 715 of the family's 2925-position model. The record is from RNAcentral. Lineage: Bacteria; Pseudomonadati; Pseudomonadota; Alphaproteobacteria; Hyphomicrobiales; Phyllobacteriaceae.
CUACUGACUGACCGAUAGUGAACCAGUACCGUGAGGGAAAGGCGAAAAGAACCCCUGUUAGGGGAGUGAAAUAGAACCUGAAACCGUGUACGUACAAGCAGUGGGAGCCCACUUGUUGGGUGACUGCGUACCUUUUGUAUAAUGGGUCAGCGACUUACAUUCUGUAGCGAGGUUAACCGAAUAGGGGAGCCGUAGGGAAACCGAGUCUUAACUGGGCGAAUAGUUGCAGGGUGUAGACC